UUUCAGAGUUGUAUUAAAUGGCUCCUCCAGCACCUCCUCUCCUCAUCCUCCAAACCCUCUCAUCUGACCCUCAUCAGCCUCUCAAGUGACAAGGCCACUCUCAGCACACACUGACAACAUGCUGGGGACCCUCUGCACUCUCAUCACCGCUCUAACAUGUGUGAGUGGUGUGAUGGUGGUGACACAGAAGCCUCCUGUUGUGACCGUGAGGAAAGGAGAGACAGUCACCAUGGACUGUAACCUGGGGACUGUUACUGGCAGCGCUGCUCGCUGGUAUAAACAGAUUCCAGGAGGAGUUCCUCAGAAGUUUCAGCUCCACUCCCCUCAGAGAGCGUCAGGAGGUUUUUGUACAGCCAUGUGCACAAACUGAAUCACUGUGGUAUUCGGACAAGGGACCAAGCUGAUUGUGACUGGUAAGAACUUUUUAACUCUUAUAUAUUUUGCCUCCGACCAAAAUG
Molecule: non-coding RNA, 458 nt
Organism: Pleuronectes platessa (European plaice)
Lineage: Eukaryota; Metazoa; Chordata; Actinopteri; Pleuronectiformes; Pleuronectidae
Source: the annotation of a RefSeq genome assembly